This 92-nucleotide transfer RNA is filed under the name bacterium. RNAcentral describes it as "tRNA-Ser". It matches the Rfam family "tRNA". From Rfam's summary of the family: Transfer RNA (tRNA) molecules are approximately 80 nucleotides in length. Their secondary structure includes four short double-helical elements and three loops (D, anti-codon, and T loops). Further hydrogen bonds mediate the characteristic L-shaped molecular structure. tRNAs have two regions of fundamental functional importance: the anti-codon, which is responsible for specific mRNA codon recognition, and the 3' end, to which the tRNAs corresponding amino acid is attached (by aminoacyl-tRNA synthetases). tRNAs cope with the degeneracy of the genetic code in two manners: having more than one tRNA (with a specific anti-codon) for a particular amino acid; and 'wobble' base-pairing, i.e. permitting non-standard base-pairing at the 3rd anti-codon position. The record is from RNAcentral. RNAcentral also lists the same sequence under 2 other names.
GGAGAGAUGGCCGAGCUGGUCGAAGGCGGUUGAUUCGAAAUCAACUGAGCGCAUUGCGCGCUCCGGGGGUUCGAAUCCCUCUCUCUCCGCCA